This 460-nucleotide ribosomal RNA is filed under the name uncultured bacterium. Its description in RNAcentral is "partial 16S ribosomal RNA". It matches the Rfam family "Bacterial small subunit ribosomal RNA", at positions 338 to 795 of the family's 1533-position model. The record is from RNAcentral.
CCUACGGGUGGCAGCAGUGAGGAAUAUUGGUCAAUGGACGCAAGUCUGAACCAGCCAUGCCGCGUGCAGGAAGACGGCUCUAUGAGUUGUAAACUGCUUUUGUACGAGGGUAAACGCAGAUACGCGUAUCUGUCUGAAAGUAUCGUACGAAUAAGGAUCGGCUAACUCCGUGCCAGCAGCCGCGGUAAUACGGAGGAUUCAAGCGUUAUCCGGAUUUAUUGGGUUUAAAGGGUGCGUAGGCGGUCUGAUAAGUUAGAGGUGAAAUCCCGAGGCUCAACUUCGGAAUUGCCUUUGAUACUGUUCGGCGAGAGAGUAGUUGCGGUAGGCGGAAUGUAUGGUGUAGCGGUGAAAUGCUUAGAGAUCAUACAGAACACCGAUUGCGAAGGCAGCUUACCAAGCUACUUCUGACGUUGAGGCACGAAAGCGUGGGGAGCAAACAGGAUUAGAUACCCCGGUAGUC